AGGAGAGAGGAAUUCCACGUGUAGCGGUGAAAUGCGUAGAGAUGUGGAGGAACACCAGUGGCGAAGGCGACUCUCUGGUCUGUAACUGACGCUGAGGAGCGAAAGCGUGGGGAGCGAACAGGAUUAGAUACCCUGGUAGUCCACGCCGUAAACGAUGAGUGCUAAGUGUUAGGGGGUUUCCGCCCCUUAGUGCUGCAGCUAACGCAUUAAGCACUCCGCCUGGGGAGUACGGUCGCAAGACUGAAACUCAAAGGAAUUGACGGGGGCCCGCACAAGCGGUGGAGCAUGUGGUUUAAUUCGAAGCAACGCGAAGAACCUUACCAGGUCUUGACAUCCUCUGACAACCCUAGAGAUAGGGCUUUCCCUUCGGGGACAGAGUGACAGGUGGUGCAUGGUUGUCGUCAGCUCGUGUCGUGAGAUGUUGGGUUAAGUCCCGCAACGAGCGCAACCCUUGAUCUUAGUUGCCAGCAUUCAGUUGGGCACUCUAAGGUGACUGCCGGUGACAAACCGGAGGAAGGUGGGGAUGACGUCAAAUCAUCAUGCCCCUUAUGACCUGGGCUACACACGUGCUACAAUGGACAGAACAAAGGGCUGCAAGACCGCAGGUUUAGCCAAUCCCAUAAAUCUGUUCUCAGUUCGGAUCGCAGUCUGCAACUCGACUGCGUGAAGCUGGAAUCGCUAGUAAUCGCGGAUCACAUGCCCCCGGUGUGAAUACCUUUCCCGGGCCGUUUUCAAACAACCCCCUCACGCCAGAAGAGUGUGCUUUCACCUCAAACAAA
RNAcentral lists this ribosomal RNA (779 nucleotides) under Bacillus pumilus. RNAcentral describes it as "bacterial SSU rRNA". It matches the Rfam family "Bacterial small subunit ribosomal RNA", at positions 655 to 1431 of the family's 1533-position model. Lineage: Bacteria; Bacillati; Bacillota; Bacilli; Caryophanales; Bacillaceae. The record is from RNAcentral.